Molecule: ribosomal RNA, 448 nt
Filed under: uncultured bacterium
Lineage: Bacteria
Description: partial 16S ribosomal RNA
Rfam family: Bacterial small subunit ribosomal RNA
Source: RNAcentral
UCCAGACUCCUACGGGAGGCAGCAGUGGGGGAUAUUGCACAAUGGGGGGAACCCUGAUGCAGCGACGCCGCGUGGGUGAAGGAGCGUUUCGGCGCGUAAAGCCCUAUCGGCAGGGAAGAAGGAGGACGGUACCUGACUAAGAAGCCCCGGCUAACUACGUGCCAGCAGCCGCGGUAAUACGUAGGGGGCAAGCGUUAUCCGGAUUUACUGGGUGUAAAGGGGGCGCAGACGGCAGCGCAAGCCAGGAGUGAAAGCCCGGGGCCCAACCCCGGGACUGCUCUUGGAACUGCGCGGCUGGAGUGCGGGAGGGGCAGGCGGAAUUCCUGGUGUAGCGGUGAAAUGCGUAGAUAUCAGGAGGAACAUCGGUGGCGAAGGCGGCCUGCUGGACUGCGACUGACGUUGAGGCCCGAAAGCGUGGGGAGCAAACAGGAUUAGAUACCCUGGUAGA